AUUGAACGCUGGCGGCAUGCCUUACACAUGCAAGUCGAACGGCAGCACGGGUGCUUGCACCUGGUGGCGAGUGGCGAACGGGUGAGUAAUACAUCGGAACAUGUCCUGUAGUGGGGGAUAGCCCGGCGAAAGCCGGAUUAAUACCGCAUACAAUCUACGGAUGAAAGCGGGGGACCUUCGGGCCUCGCGCUAUAGGGUUGGCCGAUGGCUGAUUAGCUAGUUGGUGGGGUAAAGGCCUACCAAGGCGACGAUAAGUAGCUGGUCUGAGAGGACGACCAGCCACACUGGGACUGAGACACGGCCCAGACUCCUACGGGAGGCAGCAGUGGGGAAUUUUGGACAAAGGGCGAAAGCCUGAUCCAGCAAUGCCGCGUGUGUGAAGAAGGCCUUCGGGUUGUAAAGCACUUUUGUCCGGAAAGAAAUCCUUGGCCCUAAUACGGUCGGGGGAUGACGGUACCGGAAGAAUAAGCACCGGCUAACUACGUG
RNAcentral lists this ribosomal RNA (486 nucleotides) under uncultured bacterium. RNAcentral's name for it is "partial 16S ribosomal RNA". It matches the Rfam family "Bacterial small subunit ribosomal RNA", at positions 30 to 507 of the family's 1533-position model. The record is from RNAcentral.